This 77-nucleotide ribosomal RNA is filed under the name Verticillium dahliae. Its description in RNAcentral is "partial 28S ribosomal RNA". Lineage: Eukaryota; Fungi; Ascomycota; Sordariomycetes; Glomerellales; Plectosphaerellaceae. The record is from RNAcentral.
ACGGUUGACCUCGGAUCAGGUAGGAAUACCCGCUGAACUUAAGCAUAUCAAUAAGCGGAGGAAGGCACCCGGUCUAU